UUUAGUUAAGUUAGAAAGGGCGCACGGUGGAUGCCUUGGCACUAGGAGCCGAUGAAGGACGGGACAAACACCGAUAUGCUUCGGGGAGCUGUAAGUAAGCGUUGAUCCGGAGAUUUCCGAAUGGGGAAACCCACUGUCCGUAAUGGGGCAGUAUCCAUACGUGAAUCCAUAGCGUAUGGAGGGCACA
RNAcentral lists this ribosomal RNA (187 nucleotides) under Anoxybacillus ayderensis. Its description in RNAcentral is "partial 23S ribosomal RNA". It matches the Rfam family "Bacterial large subunit ribosomal RNA", at positions 1 to 184 of the family's 2925-position model. The record is from RNAcentral. Lineage: Bacteria; Bacillati; Bacillota; Bacilli; Caryophanales; Anoxybacillaceae.